This 260-nucleotide long non-coding RNA is filed under the name Mytilus galloprovincialis (Mediterranean mussel). Lineage: Eukaryota; Metazoa; Mollusca; Bivalvia; Mytilida; Mytilidae. The record is from RNAcentral.
AAAUAAUUGUUUUGUACACUACUUUGUAAUCUUUUUCACUGAAAACGUAGCAUUGAGGUGUAUUUUCCGGAAUUUGCCGAGUAUCACCGGAAUGCCAUGUGAUAACGUUACGGAAAGGCAUGUGAUAACAAUCGAAGCAUGUGAUAAACUUUUCAUAUCAGCCCACUAAGCACCAAUUCGAAAAAUAUGGAAAAUACUUUAAUCUAAUUCUAUUAUCAUACGGUAAAAAUCAUAUGUUAUUUAGUCUAAGUAUAUGAUAA